RNAcentral lists this ribosomal RNA (19 nucleotides) under Colletotrichum acutatum. RNAcentral's name for it is "partial 28S ribosomal RNA". Lineage: Eukaryota; Fungi; Ascomycota; Sordariomycetes; Glomerellales; Glomerellaceae. The record is from RNAcentral.
UUGACCUCGGAUCAGGAAG